CUCUCCGCACCUGUUUUCUUUCUUUCUUUCUUUCCCACAAAUUUGAAAAUUUUAGUUAGUAAUCAAAUUAAACAUCUAACCAAGAGACCAGAAAGCUUCAAGAUGAUCGAAGGUUCGAAGCCGUCAAGAUCUUCUUUUUGAAGAACUUCGUUUUACCUUUACAAAAGGAGCAAUUGAUUCUGUUCCCUCUGAAGCAUUUGUGAAUGCAAAUGAAGCGAGUAGCAUCAAACACUAAACAUUGAAAUCUGUAGCCAGGUGAAAGCCAUGGAUGUUGGAGGCCAAAGUUCAGAUCAGGAGCACGAGGGAGAAACAAGGGUUGCCUCUUUCAGGGAAACAGCUCGUAAGUGGAUGGCAUUUGAAAGAGAUGAGAUUACAGAGGAUGCUGAAGCAGAGACAAAGAGAAGUUCACUGACAGAUAAUGAUUUUUCGGAGUCAAGUGAAGCAAGUAGAACGCCUUUGGAUGAUCAAUCUAAUCAGAUUCUAACUGGUGCUUCCAUGGCUGAAAGAGCUGCAGAAUGGGGGUUGGUUGUCAAAACAGAGUUAGGAUCAGGCAAUCCCAAAGCUGUAGAACUAAGGUUAUCUGGAGAUAAAAGCAAAAAUUCAGCAGAGAGAAUCAUAGAAUAUGCAAAGUCAUCUGAAGAAUUUGGAUCUGAUUCGGAAUUCCCGAGGGUUUCACAAGAGCUUAAGGAUGCAUUGGCUACACUACAGCAGACAUUUGUUGUAUCAGAUGCCACCAAACCAGACUGUCCUAUAGUAUAUGCAAGUGCUGGGUUUUUCAGCAUGACUGGUUAUUCUACCAAGGAAAUCAUUGGAAGGAACUGCCGCUUUCUUCAGGGACCUGAUACUGAUGAAAACGAAGUUGCGAAAAUAAGAGAAGUUAUUAGAAAUGGGAAAAGCUAUAGCGGCAGACUCUUGAAUUACAAGAAGAAUGGCACACCUUUCUGGAAUCUUCUCACCAUCACACCAAUAAAAGACGAUACUGGGAAGGUUAUCAAAUUCAUAGGGAUGCAGGUUGAGGUUAGCAAAUACACUGAAGGCCUGAAUGACAAGGCUUUGCGACCAAAUGGCUUGCCUAAGUCACUGAUCCGUUACGAUGCACGCCAGAAGGAGAAGGCCUUAGGUUCCAUCACAGAGGUUGUCCAAACUGUGAAGCACCCACUAGCUCAUAUUAAAGACACAGAUCAUGAGAAUAUUGGCAAGCGUGAGGAGCCAGAGAAUUUUAACCUUGAUUAUUUACUUCCAAAAUCUUCAGAAGCUGAGACCCUAGGCACACCUGAUGGACAAACUCCUCAAAUGGAUGCCAGAAGUGACGUGUUUAGAAAGGAUUAUUGUCAAGAUGAUGGAAAGAAAUCUCGGAAAUCAGGGCGCAUGUCCUUCUUGGGGUUAAAGCGUAGGUCUCUAGGCUUUGCAGAAACUCCUGAGCCCAUUAUUGAGCCAGAGGUGUUGAUGACCAAAGAUGUGCAACGAACUGAUAGCUGGGAUCAUGUGGAAAGAGAAAGGGAUGUACGCCAAGGAAUUGACUUAGCUACAACAUUGGAACGCAUUGAAAAAAAUUUUGUGAUUACAGAUCCUAGGCUUCCUGAUAACCCAAUUAUAUUUGCAUCUGAUAGCUUUCUUGAGCUGACAGAAUAUACUCGGGAAGAAAUUUUGGGAAGAAACUGCCGGUUUCUUCAAGGACCUGAAACAGAUCAAGGUACUGUCUCCCAAAUAAGAGAUGCUAUACGAGAUCAGAGAGAAAUUACUGUUCAGUUGAUUAACUACACCAAGAGUGGGAAAAAAUUUUGGAAUUUAUUCCACCUGCAACCUAUGCGUGAUCAAAAUGGUGAACUUCAAUACUUCAUCGGCGUGCAAUUAGAUGGAAGUGAUCAUGUUGAACCCCUUCGAAAUCGCCUUUCGGAGAAGACAGAACUGAAAAGUGCUAAGUUGGUAAAAGGGACUGCAGAAAAUGUUAAUGAAGCUGUUCGAGAGCUCCCAGAUGCCAACUUGAGACCAGAAGAUCUGUGGGCAAUCCAUUCUCAACCUGUCUUUCCAAGGCCUCACAAAAAGAACAGUCCUUCUUGGGUAGCAAUACAGAUGAUCAUUUCACGUGGUGAAAAAAUUGGGCUGAAGCAUUUCAAGCCCAUAAGACCUUUGGGUUGCGGUGACACUGGCAGUGUUCAUUUGGUGGAAUUGAAUGGAACGGGUGAAUUGUAUGCUAUGAAGGCUAUGGACAAAUCUAUGAUGAUGAGCCGUAACAAGGUUCAUCGAGCAUGCAUUGAAAGGGAAAUUGUUUCACUACUGGAUCAUCCUUUUCUUCCGACAUUAUACACUUCUUUUCAGACUGAUACACAUGUUUGCUUGAUUACGGACUUUUGCCCUGGUGGGGAGUUAUUUGCCUUACUUGACAAGCAGCCAUUGAAGAUAUUUAAAGAAGAAUCUGCGAGGUUCUAUGCCGCAGAAGUAGUAGUUGGAUUAGAAUAUCUUCAUUGUUUAGGAAUUAUUUAUCGGGACCUAAAGCCUGAAAACCUGUUACUCCAAAAGGAUGGGCAUAUUGUAUUGACUGACUUUGAUUUAUCAUUUUUGACAUCUUGUCAACCCGAAGUUAUACAGACUCCUAAGCCUACGAAGAGAAGAUCUAGGAGAUCUAGGAGUCAGCCACCUCCAACAUUUGUUGCAGAACCUGUUACGCUGUCAAAUUCAUUUGUUGGAACUGAAGAGUAUAUUGCUCCGGAAAUUAUUACAGGUGCGGGCCAUAGUAGUGCUAUUGAUUGGUGGGCUCUUGGUAUUUUGUUGUAUGAGAUGAUUUAUGGGCGCACACCUUUCAGGGGAAAGAAUAGGCAGAAAACAUUUGCCAACAUCCUGCGCAAAGAUCUCACUUUUCCUAGAAGCAUUCCGGUAAGCCUCACAGCAAGGCAGUUGAUACAUGGAUUAUUGCAUAGGGACCCUGCAAACCGUUUAGGAUCAACACAUGGUUCCACUGAAAUCAAACAGCAUCCUUUCUUCCGUGGAAUUAAUUGGCCUCUUAUCCGCUGCAUGGUACUUUUUCACAUCUUUCUCCGAAACUGAUAUGUACUCAUUUUGCCUUGCAAGAAGGUUCCAGUUACUUUUGCCCUAUUUCUAGGGCCUGCAAAGUAAAUUUGGUACUGCUAGAGCCCACCGCCUUUAGAUGUGCCUCUUCAAAUAAUUGGAAAAGACCCGAAGGCAAAGGAUGUAAAUUGGGACGAUGGAGUUCUCGUCCAUUCCAUGGACUUCUUUUAAGAGGUUUUACUCAUAAUUUAGACAGGAGGAUUUGGUAAAUCACUGCACAAGGUUUUGAUCCUGCCUCUUGUCUCACAGGAUCUCAACAUGAAAAUUCAGAUACUAAAUCAUGUACAGCGUAGAAAAGCAAUCAAUAAUGGUGCAGGGCUUUGGAGGUAUCAAAUCAGACAAAAAUAAGCACUUCAAGGGCGGUUAGGGAGAACCUCAUCUGUAGCUUUACUACAACAUGCUAUGCAUAUGGUUCCUGUAGUCAUGCAGAAGUGAAUAAACAGCAAUUUAUCCCUUAAAUUUUAACAGGCCCCUUGACUGCAUUUUAACCAGCCCAAUCGGAAACUACCCCUUAAAAUUAAUCAGAGCAAGUGUUGUUCAUAAUGACUUAACUAGAUUUUCCUUUACAUACCACUAACUUGUGCUCUUUUUAUGUCGUCGGAUUGUUGGAGGAUAAAGAAGAUUUUUUCUUUUGGGGUGUGGGGGGGAUUAAUAUUGGGAAGCUUAGAAAAAAAAGAGAGACAAAAAUGGAUUUUAAUCUAAUGAACAUGAUUUGGAUCCUUGACAAGGGAUCA
Molecule: RNA transcript, 3800 nt
Organism: Macadamia integrifolia
Lineage: Eukaryota; Viridiplantae; Streptophyta; Magnoliopsida; Proteales; Proteaceae
Gene name: phototropin-2-like
Exons: 24
Source: RefSeq, a predicted model, not a curated record